GAUGAACGCUGGCGGCGUGCCUAAUACAUGCAAGUCGAGCGAACAGACGAGGAGCUUGCUCCUCUGACGUUAGCGGCGGACGGGUGAGUAACACGUGGAUAACCUACCUAUAAGACUGGGAUAACUUCGGGAAACCGGAGCUAAUACCGGAUAAUAUAUUGAACCGCAUGGUUCAAUAGUGAAAGACGGUUUUGCUGUCACUUAUAGAUGGAUCCGCGCCGCAUUAGCUAGUUGGUAAGGUAACGGCUUACCAAGGCAACGAUGCGUAGCCGACCUGAGAGGGGUAAUCGGCCACCCUGAAACUGGGACACGGUCCGACCCCCACGGGAAGGCAGAAGUGGGAAACCUUCCGCAAUGGCCGAAGGCCGACCGAGGAAACGCGGCGGGGGUAAUAAGGGUCUCGGAUCGUAAAACUCUGUUAUUAGGGAAGAACAAAUGUGUAAGUAACUAUGCACGUCUUGACGGUACCUAAUCAGAAAGCCACGGCUAACUACGUG
Molecule: ribosomal RNA, 497 nt
Filed under: uncultured bacterium
Lineage: Bacteria
Description: partial 16S ribosomal RNA
Rfam family: Bacterial small subunit ribosomal RNA
Source: RNAcentral